Molecule: long non-coding RNA, 1716 nt
Filed under: Callithrix jacchus (white-tufted-ear marmoset)
Lineage: Eukaryota; Metazoa; Chordata; Mammalia; Primates; Cebidae
Description: lncRNA (ENSCJAG00000085277.1)
Source: RNAcentral
UUAAAAUCUAUGUUGAACUUCAUAUUGCUAGCUUCUUAAAUGGGCACACUUUAGAUAGUAAUGGAAAAUUCUCUGGGUAAAAAACUUUUUUGUGCGUUUAUGAUAGGAAGCAGGAAAGGGCAACAGUGUUCUGACCUAUUUUUGAAAUAAAGCUUUGCUCUAUAAAAAAAAACUUGCUGAUUCAUUCUAUCUGUCACUUAGCCAAGACUAAUUAUUGUCUUCUGUGUGCCAAGAACUACAGAGAAUCCACAGAGAUGAGCAAGAAAUGGUUCUUCUUUAAUAGGAGUUUAUUUCCUAGUAAGUAGAAUCACAAAGGAAGUAAAUGUGACAAAGUAUUCUAGAUGUUACAGUAGAAAUAUAAACUAAGAAGGUAUGGGUAUGGUUAAUUUCUACCCCAAAGUCAAGCUUCUUGCAAAAGCAAUGGUAGUGGAUAACUAUGAUAAUGAACACAUUUUCACCAAGAAGAUUACUACUUCUGUCUUAAUAAAGAUGUCAUAUUAUUGGAUCCCUGAUAACUGGAUUCCUGCAUUAUCAACUCUAACAGGAGCUCUUUUUGUGCUGUGCCUCUAUGCCGUUGCAUGGUGCCUCUUCAAAGAUUCUCCUGUUUGUUCAAGAUUAUUUCCCCACUGCCACAAACAUCACCAGAGCCAACCAAGUCUCACAACCAAAGGACCUGGUGUAGUACCAAGAUUUUUUUGUGCAGAGAAGUUAUGUGUAUCAUCUCUGGGGUCUCUAUGUAAAUAAUAUACAAAACCCUGUAACUCAAGGCCUUACAUUAACAAAAAAUACUAAAAACUCAUUAAAAAUGAAACCUGAGGGAAGUUCCCCAAUCACUCCUGGUGCUGGCCUGAAAAGGGGAUUGGGAAUAAAGAGGAAUGAAAAGGAAAGGCCACAUCUGUGUCACAAUUCCCUAACUCCGGGACCAGGAAUGGGGUGGGGGAGAAGCUGCCUUUUGCUGCCAUUGCUGCCAGUGCUGCUGCUGCCACCAGACAUGGUCCUGUUGCUGCUGUUUCUGCUGCUGCUUUUGCUCAGGUGAGAUGAAAAUUGAUUGAAUGCCUGAAGGAGAAUCCUGCACUAUAUAGCUCCAUAGUAUACACAUGGCCAUGAACAGGCUGAGGAGAACACAGACCCAUAGAUUCAUUGGCUCACUCUAGUGAACUCAGCUGUUCCCUGUCAACCAUCCUCUGAGCAUCCCCACGGUCACUUUUUGUUUUUUGAAACGAAGUCUUGCUAUGUCACCCAGGCUGGAGUGCAGUGGCGUUACCUUGGCUCACUGCAACCUCUGCCUCCUGGGUUCAAGCAAUUCUCCUGCCUCAGCCUCCGAGUAGCUGGGACUACUACCAGUGGUGUGGGCCACCACACCCGGCUAUUGUUUUGUAUUUUUAGUAGAGGUGGGGUUUUACCAUGUUAGCCAGGAUGGUCUCAGACUCCUGACCUUGUUAUCUGCCUGCCUCUGCCUCCCAAAGUGCUGGAAUUACAGGCGUGAAUCACUAUGCUCAGCCCCAUGGUCACUUUUAUCUCUGCCUGUUGCAAGGCUGAUGGUCCCAGAGGUGGGGAUAGGACACCCUGAGUAUUCAGUGGAGUCACAGUUCCGAUGAAUGUUCACCACAGUGUCUUGUAAAAUCUUUGAGGGGACCUCAGACUGUACUUACAGGUUAAGACCUGCUGGUACAUAUAGCCACUGAGCCACUGCUGCAGGUGGCACAUGGAUCUACA